GAUGAAGAACGUAGCGAAACGCGAAAGGUAAUGCGAAUUGCAGAAUCAGUGAGUCAUCGAAUCUUUGAACGCACAUUGCGCCUCUCGGUAUUCCGGGAGGCACGCCUGUUCGAGCGCCAUUACACCACUCAAGCCUCGCUUGGUAUUGGGCAUCGCGGUCCGCCGCGUGCCUCAAAUCGACCGGCUGGGUCUUCUGUCCCCUAAGCGUUGUGGAAACUAUUCGCUAAAGGGUGUUCGGGAGGCUACGCCGUAAAACAACCCCAUUUCUAAGGUUGACCUCGGAUCAGGUAGGGAUACCCGCUGAACUUAAGCAUAUCAAUAAGCGGAGGA
Molecule: unclassified non-coding RNA, 330 nt
Filed under: soil metagenome
Description: partial contains 5.8S ribosomal RNA, internal transcribed spacer 2, and large subunit ribosomal RNA
Rfam family: 5.8S ribosomal RNA (bases 1-119)
Source: RNAcentral